UUGGGAAUAUUGGACAAUGGGGGAAACCCUGAUCCAGCCAUGCCGCGUGAGUGAUGAAGGCCUUCGGGUCGUAAAGCCCUUUUGGUGGGGACGAUAAUGACGGUACCCACAGAAUAAGCUCCGGCUAACUUCGUGCCAGCAGCCGCGGUAAUACGAAGGGAGCUAGCGUUGUUCGGAGUUACUGGGCGUAAAGGGCGCGUAGGCGGUUCGGCAAGUCUGAUGUGAAAGCCCUGGGCUCAACCCAGGGACUGCGUUUGAGACUGCCGUACUUGAGUUCGGGAGAGGUGAGUGGAAUUCCCAGUGUAGCGGUGAAAUGCGUAGAGAUUGGGAGGAACACCAGUGGCGAAGGCGGCUCACUGGACCGACAUUGACGCUGAGGCGCGAAAGCGUGGGGAGCAAACA
RNAcentral lists this ribosomal RNA (402 nucleotides) under uncultured prokaryote. RNAcentral describes it as "bacterial SSU rRNA". It matches the Rfam family "Bacterial small subunit ribosomal RNA", at positions 355 to 774 of the family's 1533-position model. The record is from RNAcentral.